AUUGAACGCUGGCGGCAUGCUUUACACAUGCAAGUCGAACGGCAGCACGGGCUUCGGCCUGGUGGCGAGUGGCGAACGGGUGAGUAAUGCAUCGGAACGUGCCCAUGUUGUGGGGAUAACUACGCGAAAGCGUGGCUAAUACCGCAUACGCCCUGAGGGGGAAAGCGGGGGAUUCUUCGGAACCUCGCGCAAUUGGAGCGGCCGAUGUCAGAUUAGCUUGUUGGUGGGGUAAUGGCCUACCAAGGCAACGAUCUCUAGCUGGUCUGAGAGGACGAUCAGCCACACUGGGACUGAGACACGGCCCAGACUCCUACGGGAGGCAGCAGUGGGGAAUAUUGGACAAUGGGCGAAAGCCUGAUCCAGCAAUGCCGCGUGUGUGAAGAAGGCCUGAGGGUUGUAAAGCACUUUCAAUCGUGAAGAAAAGUUGCAGGCUAAUACCCUGUGACCUUGACGUUAACGAUACAAGAAGCACCGGCUAACUCCGUG
This 486-nucleotide ribosomal RNA is filed under the name uncultured bacterium. RNAcentral's name for it is "bacterial SSU rRNA". It matches the Rfam family "Bacterial small subunit ribosomal RNA", at positions 30 to 507 of the family's 1533-position model. The record is from RNAcentral.